RNAcentral lists this ribosomal RNA (1008 nucleotides) under Triticum aestivum (bread wheat). Its description in RNAcentral is "partial small subunit ribosomal RNA". The record is from RNAcentral. Lineage: Eukaryota; Viridiplantae; Streptophyta; Magnoliopsida; Poales; Poaceae.
AUGCCGCCGGCGCCCGUUCCCCGGCUUGACGGGGCGUCCGUGCAGAUCGGGGACCUCCUCUACGUCGUCGCAGGGUACGGGAGCCUCGACCAUGUCCAUUCUCAUGUGGAUGUGUACAAUUUCACUUCUAACACAUGGACUGGAAGGUUUGAUAUGCCCAAGAUGUCAAAUUCACAUUUAGGGAUGGCCUCAGAUGGGAGAUACAUCUAUGCAGUGUCUGGACAAUUUGGUCCACAGUGUCGGCCAGCUGUGAGCCGUAAUUUUGUUCUAGACACAAAGUUAAGGAAGUGGGACGAAUUGCCUCCUUUACCUGUUCCUAGGUAUGCACCAGCUACUCAACUUUGGCGUGGGCGGCUUCAUGUGAUGGGUGGUGGCAAAGAAGACCGCCAUGAACCUGGAUUAGAGCACUGGAGCCUUGCUGUGAAGGAUGCCAAAGCAUUGGAGAAUGAGUGGCGAGCUGAAAUACCGAUACCACGUGGUGGACCUCAUAGGGCAUGUGUUGUUGCUAACGACAAACUCUUUGUGAUUGGUGGUCAAGAGGGAGACUUCAUGCCUAAACCAGGGUCACCUAUUUUUAAAUGCGCAAGGAGGCAUGAGGUUGUUUAUGGUGAUGUGUAUAUGCUAGACAAUGAAGCUAAAUGGAAGCAACUGUCUCCAAUGCCAAAGCCAGAUUCCCACAUAGAAUUUGCAUGGGUCGUUGUUAAUAACUCCAUAGUAAUUGUUGGCGGAACUACCGAGAAGCACCCUAUCACCAAAAAGAUGAUUCUUGUUGGUGAAGUCUUCCGGUUUGAUUUGGAAACAUUGAAAUGGUCAGUCAUUGGUCGUAUGCCUUUCCGGAUCAAGACAGCCUUAGCUGGUUACUGGGAUGGUUGGCUCUAUUUCACUUCUGGGCAGAGGGAUAGGGGACCUGAUAAUCCAAGUCCUAAGAAAGUUGUUGGUUCUAUGUGGAGAACGAAACUGCACGUCUGGUGUCCAAUGUUUGAACCAGAGGUUUCUGUAUAUUCUUAA